UCUGGAUCUAGGUAUGGAGA
Molecule: unclassified non-coding RNA, 20 nt
Filed under: Mus musculus (house mouse)
Lineage: Eukaryota; Metazoa; Chordata; Mammalia; Rodentia; Muridae
Description: oocyte_clustered_small_RNA5151
Source: RNAcentral